This 253-nucleotide ribosomal RNA is filed under the name uncultured bacterium. RNAcentral describes it as "partial 16S ribosomal RNA". It matches the Rfam family "Bacterial small subunit ribosomal RNA", at positions 524 to 776 of the family's 1533-position model. The record is from RNAcentral.
UACGUAGGGACCAAGCGUUGUUCGGAUUUACUGGGCGUAAAGAGCGCGUAGGCGGCUGGAAUAGUCCGGUGUGAAAUCCACAGGCUUAACCUGUGAAUGCCGCUGGAAACUGUCUGGCUAGAGUCCGGAAGGGGCGAGUGGAAUUCCUGGUGUAGCGGUGGAAUGCGCAGAUAUCAGGAGGAACACCGGUGGCGAAGGCGGGUCUUUGGGCAGUAACUGACGCUGAGGAGCGAAAGCGUGGGGAGCGAACAGG